UGGCACAGGUCCUCCGUAUUGCUAAACGAU
RNAcentral lists this non-coding RNA (30 nucleotides) under Mus musculus (house mouse). The record is from RNAcentral. Lineage: Eukaryota; Metazoa; Chordata; Mammalia; Rodentia; Muridae.